GCUGAAGGAUGUGCGGGAGGUGAAGGAGGAGAAUACGCUGAAUGAGAAGCUUUUCUUGCUGGCGUGCGACAAGGAAACUAAUGGAACGAAUUCAGAAUCCUGAGUAUUCAACAACUAUGGAUGUUGCGCCUGUCAUUUUAGCUGCUCAUCAUAACAACUAUGAAAUUCUUACAAUGCUCUUAAAACAGGAUGUAUCUCUACCCAAGCCCCAUGCAGUUGGCUGUGAAUGCACAUUGUGUUCUGCAAAAAACAAAAAGGAUAGCCUCCGGCAUUCCAGGUUUCGUCUUGAUAUAUAUCGAUGUUUGGCCAGUCCAGCUCUAAUAAUGUUAACAGAGGAGGAUCCAAUUCUGAGAGCAUUUGAACUUAGUGCUGAUUUAAAAGAACUAAGUCUUGUGGAGGUGGAAUUCAGG
This 410-nucleotide long non-coding RNA is filed under the name Pan troglodytes (chimpanzee). Its description in RNAcentral is "long non-coding RNA NONPTRT011613". The record is from RNAcentral. Lineage: Eukaryota; Metazoa; Chordata; Mammalia; Primates; Hominidae.